Molecule: non-coding RNA, 219 nt
Filed under: Lingulaulax polyedra
Lineage: Eukaryota; Dinophyceae; Gonyaulacales; Lingulodiniaceae
Source: RNAcentral
CUGACACCCCGUCGGCCGCAGGCGAGUGCCGCGUCCUGGGGCCCGACGAUGAGGGCCAGGGCAUGCACUGGUUUCUCGACGGUAGGGUCGGCGAUGUAUUCUGCAUCAAGUUCCAGCGCUGGCAGGAGGCGGGCAAAGAUGUGAAAAGGCUUUCGUGGAAGCAGGUCGGCAGGGAGCAGCUCAGCGAGGGACAGUUGACGCUUGCGGGUUCACCACGGU